CACCGCGGUUAUACGAGAGGCCCAAGUUGACAGACACCGGCGUAAAGCGUGGUUAAGGAAAACUAAAACUAAAGCCGAACACCUUCAGGGCAGUUAUACGCAUCCGAAGGCACGAAGCCCCACCACGAAAGUGGCUUUAUGACCCCCUGACCCCACGAAAGCUAUGACA
RNAcentral lists this ribosomal RNA (169 nucleotides) under Auxis rochei. RNAcentral's name for it is "partial small subunit ribosomal RNA". The record is from RNAcentral. Lineage: Eukaryota; Metazoa; Chordata; Actinopteri; Scombriformes; Scombridae.